GAGUUGUGGCUCUGUGGUAGAGUGCCUGCCUGGCAUGUGUGAGGCCCCGAGUUCAAUCCUCAGCACUGCACA
RNAcentral lists this transfer RNA (72 nucleotides) under Marmota monax (woodchuck). RNAcentral describes it as "tRNA.Ala". The record is from RNAcentral. Lineage: Eukaryota; Metazoa; Chordata; Mammalia; Rodentia; Sciuridae.